Molecule: long non-coding RNA, 3794 nt
Filed under: Taeniopygia guttata (zebra finch)
Lineage: Eukaryota; Metazoa; Chordata; Aves; Passeriformes; Estrildidae
Description: lncRNA (ENSTGUG00000018884.1)
Source: RNAcentral
AUGAGCGGCCCGAGCAGAACCGAGCCCCGGCGGGCGUUCCGCAGGCGGGAGCGCGCACCGGGGGCCGCCGCCCGGCGGGAGCGCGCACCGGGGGCCGCCGCCCGGCGGGAGCGCGCACCGGGGGCCGCCGCACUCGCAGCGCCGCUCCGUGUCCGCCAGAGGGCGCCCCUCUCGGGCGGCGCUGAGGGAGCGGCGCCCCUGAGGGGUCCCGGGGCCGGCCCGGGCGGUCCCCGCGCCCCGCCCGCUUCCAGCCGCGAUCCAGCGCCGGCUCCGGGAAAGCGCCGCCUCCUGCCGGGCCCGGCCCCGGCACAGCCCCGGCUCCCCGCGGCCGCGGCGGGACCUGCCCGGAGCCCCGGCGGGAGCGCAGCCCCGCACCGGCCGCGGUCCGAGCGGGAGCGGCAGCGCCGGGCUCGGUCCGCGCCCGUCCCGGAGCGGCUCCGCCUCCCCGCGGCGAUUCCUGUCCCGAUCCCUGCCCCAAUCCCGCCCCGGUCUUGCGGCUCCAGGACCCGCAGCCCACUCGCCCCGGGACCCCCAGCAGACACCGGCAGGACCCGGACCCAUAUUCCCCGGCCCGGGUCCCGUUCCCGGCCCCACCUCAGCGCCGCGAGCUCCGCACAGCACCGGCAGCAGCCCCGGCCCAGGGCCCGCACAGCGCUCCGAGCGCCGGUCCCGCCGCAUCCCGGGCUGCUCCCGCCAGAGCUCCCCACAGCCACUGCCAUUCCUGAACAGGAGCUAUGGAAGACACUCCUGCAGUCCAUGAGGGUGAGGAGGCAGUUUGGGAAGUUCUUUGCUGUGCAAUCAGAGCAGAGAGUGUCAAUGAUCCUGUGCUCCCUUCCAAGCCAAAGCAGCCCGUGAUUCCAUGGCAUGAGCAGCACCUCUCCCGGCUCCAUUCCAGAAACAUCCUCCCACUAACCCAGGACUUUUCUUUUUCUGCAUCACACCAGGGAUGCGCUGCCGAGUGCGCCAGGCAGGGGACGCCUCAGCAUUCCCGGGAUGUCUCAGCAUUCCCCGCGAUACGCCAAUAUUCCCGGGAUCUCUCAGCAUUCCCGGGAGUUCUCAGCAUUCCCAGCGAUGCCCCAGCAUUCCCAGGAUCUCUCAGCAUUCCCGGGAUCUCUCAGCAUUCCCGGGACGCCGCUCCACGCCGGCCCCGCGGCCCCGCGCCGUGCCGGGCUGCAGUGCUGGGCGCUCCCCACGGGGCGGCAGCACCGGGCGCUCCCGGCCCGGCCGCUCCCGCUGUCCCGGGCCGGUCCCGGCCGCUCCCGCUGUCCCGGGCCGGUCCCGCUGUCCCGGGCCGCUCCCGGCCGCUCCCGCUGUCCCGGGCCGGUCCCGCUGUCCCGGGCCGCUCCCGCUGUCCCGGGCCGCUCCCGCUGUCCCGGGUCGGUCCCGGCCGCUCCCGCUGUCCCGGGCCGGUCCCGGCUUUAACCCGCCCGGACCCGGCGGGGCCGCGGACACCGCGGGCACAGCCCCGCUGAUGCCCUGGAUUUCACCCGCCACGGCACAGGAUCGCAGCAGUUCCCGAGCCGGAACGGACCCACGGGCAGCAUCGAACCCAAAUCCUGGCCCCGCACAGGACCCCAGGAAUUCCCCCCUGUGCCCGGGAGCCUCGUCCAGACCCCGGCUCUUCCCCCAGGAUCCUGAAAACACAGCGGGGCUGGGAGAAGGAUGACGACGGGCUUUUAAGAUACACAUCUCGUUAUACGGUCGUUCUAUAGAUCCGUUCUGUAUCCUUAUCGGUAAUCCUACAAUCAACAUGUCCCUUAUAUCCCGCUACACAUCCUUACACGUCGCCUUCACUGCGGUGACUCCAGUGACCGACGGAGCCCCGCCUGACCGCCCCUGCCAUUCCCGCACAGCCCGGGUUUCCUUCCCGGCUCCAGCCCUGCAUUCCCGCGGCAGUCUCAGGUGUCUCGUUCCAUAAAGCAAAUUAAUCACAGCAACACAGAGCCAGCCCGAGCCGGUCCCUCCGGAGAGCACCGACCGCCUCAUCCUUACCCCAAGCUGUGCAUUCUCUCCCCUGCACAUUAACUCAGAUUGUGUCCCAAAAUGUUCAUUUUGGCCCCUCCGGAAUCCGCCCCAGAGCGACGCCCCGGGCCCCGCUCGGCCGAGGCGGCUCCGGUGUCCCCUGUCCGCAGCUCCCGCUGCUGCCGCCUUCCCGCUCCGUGUCCCGGGAGGGGACAGAGAUCCCUGUGUCCCGGGACAGCGAUCCCUGUGCCGGGACAGCCAUCCCUGUGCCGGGACACCGAUCCCUGUGCCGGGACAGCCAUCCCUGUGCCGGGACAGCGAUCCCCGUGCCGGGACUGCCAUCCCUGUACCGGGACACCCAUCCCUGUGCCGGGACACCGAUCCCUGUGCCGGGACACCCAUCCCUGUACCGGGACACCCAUCCCUGUGCCGGGACACCGAUCCCUGUGCCGGGACAGCGAUCCCUGUGCCGGGACACCGAUCCCCGUGCUGAGGCAGCGACCGGCGAGGCCCCCGUUCCCCGCUCACCUCCGAGCCCGCCACCGCUGCUCCCCGGGCUCCGCCGCUGCCGCUCCCGGCUCCGCGCUUGCGCUCCGGCGUUUCUUUCCGGGAAACUUUAUCCCGGCCUUGGCCCCGAAUAGAGAAAUAUAUUUGUAUUUUUAAACCCUCUAGCUCCGUAAUCAGAAUUCCUUACAGUGUAUAUCCUGUCUAUAACACAGCAGACACAAGGUUUUAUUUCUGAAUCGGUUUUUAAAUGCAUUAAAAUUUCCCAGAAUAUAAAAAAUGGGAAUAUUUGCAGUUCUCAGUAUUUUACACACAAAGCCCUCUUGAAUUUUCAGGCAUUUUGCGGCUGUAACCUCCCUUUUUUGGAGGGAUCUCACUUGGGCCCCCUCAUCCCUCACUCACCUGGUCUCCACCACAAUGGACUGUGCCAAGUGACACCAUCACCCUCCAGACUCCCUUUUUCCUCCUUGCCUACAGAAGGCACAGGGAACAUCCCCGAGGAUGGUGCCUUGUCCUGAAUUGUCCCACAGGACGCUGCAAAGUGCUUGAGGAGGGCAAACCCCACUCAGCAGCCACCAAAUCUCCCGGGUGUUAUCUGCACCAUUACCAUUCUGAAUCCAAAUCCAGCAAAGAAAAAGUUCCCUAUCCCGGUUAAAUCCAGCACAGCAGCCAGCACAACCUGUCCCUGCUCAUCUAACAGCUGGACACCUCCAGAAGGAUUCUGUGAAGGACAGAGACAAAACUCCUACUAUAAUCCCCAAAAUGAACAGGCUUUCCCUUCCCAUCACCUCUGAGCUGGGAGACCUUAUGGCAGCAGGAUAAGAAACCAGUUAGACAGGAAUUUCUCUCCUAUCCUGAGCUGCCUGUGCCUGACGCAGGCACUGUCCUUGAAUUGUUUUCCCAGCAGAUCCAGUAUGAUCUUCUCCAACAUUUUUCUUGGCACUGUAGUUAGAUCAUCAGGGCUGGAGUUUCCUGGAAAAGUCCAAGUGGGAUACAGCUGGAGAAUGCCCAGCCAGCAAUGGAGCCCCUCAGGCUUCCAGGACCUUGGGUGGAAGAUUGAGGUGGUACCUUCUGGGACAUACUGGGAUGAAUCCCAAACAACAUCACAGCCUCGUGGAUACUGAAGUGGUCUAAGUGGUCCCCAGUUGAUCUCAAAUGGAAAAUCUCUGCCCUCCCUCCCCCACUGUACACACAGAUAAGCCAGCAGUGCCUGGCAGACCCAGGGUGGCUGCGGGAAGGCAGGUGACAGGACAAGGACACUGGGAACAGCUAAAAGCAGAGAGGACGCCCAGAGAGCCGAAUUCCACAGGACUCUGCCACCCUGAGUG